RNAcentral lists this ribosomal RNA (200 nucleotides) under uncultured bacterium. RNAcentral describes it as "partial 16S ribosomal RNA". It matches the Rfam family "Bacterial small subunit ribosomal RNA", at positions 524 to 723 of the family's 1533-position model. The record is from RNAcentral.
UACGGAGGGUGCAAGCGUUAAUCGGAAUUACUGGGCGUAAAGCGUGCGUAGGCGGCCAUUUAAGUCGGAUGUGAAAGCCCUGGGCUCAACCUGGGAACUGCAUCCGAUACUGGGUGGCUCGAGUACGAGAGAGGGUAGUGGAAUUUCAGGUGUAGCGGUGAAAUGCGUAGAUAUCUGAAGGAACACCAGUGGCGAAGGCG